CCCGGAACCGCUGGGCGCGGGUGAAAGGUCACUCAUAGCGGCGCCCGGCGCGACCAUUCGCUGCGGCGCAUCCCGGCAGCCACCGCGGCGACUUGGCGGCGGGUGCCAUGCGCCUGGAGCUUCACGUUCUCUGCCCCCACCCACCGCGCCGGCGCUCCCUGGUCACGCCUUGGGAAGCGCGCACCUGCCAAGCAGGAUGAAUAGUCUGAUACCAUGUGAGAUGAGGAAAUAAGAAGCUUUCUGCUGACUUCAUUGUGACCCAGGGUCCAAAAGGCAAUUAGAAUCUGGAGGUGCCUCAGUGGUCAACUAGGUCAACACCUCUGGCUUCCAAAAAGGGAAACUUAGAAACAAAAUGAAGAAAUGACUGGCCCAAGUUCACAUUGUCAACCCAAGGCUAAAAUCCAAGAUUCCUAACUCUCAUUUUUCUUCCUUUUUGCUACCCUUGAUUUCUUUUUUCUUCCUUCUUUUUCAAAAUAUAUUGUGCUCCUAUUAUAAAGCAAGAUUCUAGGAAUACAGAUAUAAAGAAGAUUUAGUCAUUGCCUUCAAAUCUAGUUUUACUUCAAGCUAAUUUUUUUAGCCAUUUUCAGGGAAAGAAUUUGUUGGGAAAUGACCAAACAACUAUGCAGGGGAAGGUUCUCAAUCAUCCACAAAUUGACUCACAAUAUGAUUAAUUAAUUAUGAGUUUUAACUGGAAAGUACAAUCACAAAUGUGAAAAUUGCCCUUGAUCAGAUUCAAACCAUUUCAUAAAGAGGUAAGGCAUACUUUCAAAUGGCCUGUAUUAACCUUUAUCUUAUUUCUCCUUUGCGGAUUCAACUGUGAGCUAUCUUGCAAAAAAUACAAGAAGAUAUGGAAAGUUUUCAUGAGUGCCUACCACCUAAUCCCAAACACUGUCAUUCAUAUGCGCAUCAUUGAGCAAAUCUUUAUUGAGGAUCUAUAUGCCAGGUGUGUGCUAAGCGCUGGGCUUAGUGUGGCAAAGAGAAGAGAUAUGACCUUGAGGUUUCUGCUCUCACAAAGCUUGCAGUCUCCUAUUUGUGUAUGUGUAAUUCUCUAAUGCUCAGGAAAGCUGUUUACCUCAUUUUGCUUUGGCAUCAUAUUUUUAGGCUAUAGAAAUCAGAGAGUAUGCAAACAUUUUCUAAAAUUACUCUGCCCCACAAAAAGGGAAACACAAAUAACAAUUUGGGGCCAGAUAGAACUGGAUUUGAAUUCCAAGCCUGCCCUUUACAAGCUAUUAAACAAACGAAUUCUCUGAGCCCCUGUUGCUUUCAUGAAGUGGAAAUAAUAUGUAUCCCUUGUAAGGGAUCAUAUCCUUAUUAAUACCUAAAUAGAGACAUUACUUUUUGAGUCAAAAAUAUGAAUUCUAUGGUCCAUCUCCUAAAAUGCAGAAAAAUUAUCAAAAGAGAAGCAUUAUUAAUAUUGUUCACUUAGUUUCAUCAAGAAUGUCACUUUCCAGCAUUAAUACAGACAGAUAUUCUUUGCCAUUGACUUUUUCCUGUUUUAAAAUAAGGUGAGAUGCUCUAACAAUGGAUGCCACUCCAACAGAGUUUCUGUAAGGCUGUUAGUUUCUUUUUCCAUGGAUAGUUUCCAUGGCCUUGCUCCACAUAAACUAAGCCCUAUUAUUUCAAUUAUGGUGACUAAAUCUAGUAUGACCAUUAUUUGUCUGUAUAAGGGAUCUUGUAGUAAUCUGUGUAUAAACUUAUCACUCCAUCUAUUUAAUGAUUUGACUAAGUCAAGGAUCAUAUUUUAUUUCCCUCUGUUCUCCCCUCCCAGUGGUACCUCACACAGAAUUAGAGCACACUAAAUGUGUGCUGAGUAAAAAGACUAUCUUUCUAUGUGCUUUUUGACAUGUAAGCUGAGAGAGAAAUUUUAGCAUAUGUUGUAGGUAAACUUACUUUGUUUUACCUGAGAGUAGCAAGUAUCAAACAGAUCCUACUCCUGUUACAAUCCUGCUAGAGGAAAAAAAGUAGUUAAAUUCCCCAAUCUCUACUCAAACCAAAACAAAACUUCAAAAAUAUUGAGACACAGAGAGAAGGAAUAGGAUGGGGUCAGUGAGGACUGGUGUUUGUGCAUGGUGUGCAUGCAGCAGGCUAACGUCCUUUCCCUGUUGUAAUAGCUCCGAAUGUAAGUGCCACACACCACCAGGUCUAUGAAAAGCCCAGGGUUUAAAGGUCAAACAAGUUUGGGAAAGCUUGCCCAGCAUUUUCCUCUCUUGCAAGUUGGCGGUGCAUACUGGUAAAUUAAAGCCUAUAAAAACUGCUUAACAUUGUUUUACCUUGCAGUCCCCAAAUUCAUUUGACCAACAUUUCACCUAUAAACAUCCCGCAGAUCUGGUAGAUUCUGUGGAAGGCACAGACUUCAGGGAACUGCUCCACUGUGUUGAAAGGACUUCUUUCUCUUGUUCAUUCACACACAAAAAGCUGCCAUUUUAUUUCCAAAUCCUACAGGUCUGGGAAUGUGAGUAUUUCCAGCAAUGUUUUAACUAUAGAAAAGUGAGACCACUUCCUGACAAUUUAGCGGUCCCAGAAAGUUUAUACAAUUGAAUUUUAGGUAUGUUUAAGAAGUCAGUUCAAAUCCAGGAAAUGGCUUCCCAGCAAUGCCUGGAAUGUCCUCAUAAAAACUGAGAAACAGAUAUCCAAGUCCUGUUUUGGAUCUUGGAGGGACAGAGAGAAAGAAGAGAAAAACAUAAAAUUAUAGUCCCAAAUCUCAUGAUGUUUCUUCCAGUUUUCUACAAAUAAAUAUCCACUUUCUCUGAACUC
This is a non-coding RNA of Macaca mulatta (Rhesus monkey), 2754 nucleotides long. NCBI's taxonomy places the organism in Eukaryota, Metazoa, Chordata, Mammalia, Primates, Cercopithecidae. The record is from RefSeq and is a predicted model, not a curated record.